GUGUCAGCCGCCGCGGUAAUACGUAGGUGGCGAGCGUUGUCCGGAUUUACUGGGCGUAAAGGAUGCGUAGGUGGAAAUUUAAGUGGGAUGUGAAAUCCCCGGGCUCAACCCGGGAACUGCAUUCCAAACUGGGUUUCUUGAGUGCAGGAGAGGAAAGCGGAAUUCCUAGUGUAGCGGUGAAAUGCGUAGAUAUUAGGAAGAACACCAGUGGCGAAGGCGGCUUUCUGGACUGUAACUGACACUGAGGCAUGAAAGCGUGGGUAGCAAACAGGAUUAGAAACCCCCGUAGUCC
This 292-nucleotide ribosomal RNA is filed under the name uncultured prokaryote. RNAcentral describes it as "partial 16S ribosomal RNA". It matches the Rfam family "Bacterial small subunit ribosomal RNA", at positions 505 to 796 of the family's 1533-position model. The record is from RNAcentral.